Molecule: non-coding RNA, 46 nt
Organism: Callithrix jacchus (white-tufted-ear marmoset)
Lineage: Eukaryota; Metazoa; Chordata; Mammalia; Primates; Cebidae
Source: Rfam
ACAAAGGCUCUUUUCAGAGCCAAUUCCUUUAUCCAUGAAAAAAGCU